GCCUGCCCUGUGACUAUGGGUUUAACGGCCGCGGUAUUUUGACCGUGCGAAGGUAGCGCAAUCACUUGUCUUUUAAAUGAAGACCUGUAUGAAUGGCAUCACGAGGGCUUAGCUGUCUCCUCUUCCAAGUCAAUGAAAUUGAUCUGCCCGUGCAGAAGCGGACAUAACUACAUAAGACGAGAAGACCCUAUGGAGCUUUAGACACCCGGCAGAUCACGUCAAGUAACCUUGUUUUAUCAAGUAAAAACGCAGUGACCCCUAGCCUAUAUGUCUUUGGUUGGGGCGACCGCGGGGGAAAACAAAGCCCCCAUGUGGACUGGGGGCACUGCCCCCACAGCCAAGAGCUACUGCUCUAAGCACCAGAAUUUCUGACCAAAAAUGAUCCGGCGAACGCCGAUCAACGGACCGAGUUACCCUAGGGAUAACAGCGCAAUCCUCUCCCAGAGUCCCUAUCGACGAGGGGGUUUACGACCUCGAUGUUGGAUCAG
This 488-nucleotide ribosomal RNA is filed under the name Thymallus arcticus (Arctic grayling). RNAcentral's name for it is "partial large subunit ribosomal RNA". It matches the Rfam family "Bacterial large subunit ribosomal RNA", at positions 1857 to 2540 of the family's 2925-position model. Lineage: Eukaryota; Metazoa; Chordata; Actinopteri; Salmoniformes; Salmonidae. The record is from RNAcentral.